GGGCCCGUAGCUCAGGUGGUAGAGCACCGCGUUUACACCGCGGUUGUCGUCGGUUCGAGCCCGGCCGGGCCCA
This 73-nucleotide transfer RNA is filed under the name Actinomycetota bacterium. Its description in RNAcentral is "tRNA-Val". It matches the Rfam family "tRNA". From Rfam's summary of the family: Transfer RNA (tRNA) molecules are approximately 80 nucleotides in length. Their secondary structure includes four short double-helical elements and three loops (D, anti-codon, and T loops). RNAcentral also lists the same sequence under 1 other name. The record is from RNAcentral. Lineage: Bacteria; Bacillati; Actinomycetota.